UGGGGAAUAUUGCACAAUGGGCGCAAGCCUGAUGCAGCCAUGCCGCGUGUGUGAAGAAGGCCUUCGGGUUGUAAAGCACUUUCAGCGGGGAGGAAGGCGGUGAGGUUAAUAACCUCAUCGAUUGACGUUACCCGCAGAAGAAGCACCGGCUAACUCCGUGCCAGCAGCCGCGGUAAUACGGAGGGUGCAAGCGUUAAUCGGAAUUACUGGGCGUAAAGCGCACGCAGGCGGUCUGUCAAGUCGGAUGUGAAAUCCCCGGGCUCAACCUUGGAACUGCAUUCGAAACUGGCAGGCUAGAGUCUUGUAGAGGGGGGUAGAAUUCCAGGUGUAGCGGUGAAAUGCGUAGAGAUCUGGAGGAAUACCGGUGGCGAAGGCGGCCCCCUGGACAAAGACUGACGCUCAGGUGCGAAAGCGUGGGGAGCAAACAGG
RNAcentral lists this ribosomal RNA (429 nucleotides) under Chloroflexota bacterium. RNAcentral describes it as "Chloroflexi bacterium partial 16S ribosomal RNA". It matches the Rfam family "Bacterial small subunit ribosomal RNA", at positions 355 to 776 of the family's 1533-position model. Lineage: Bacteria; Bacillati; Chloroflexota. The record is from RNAcentral.